This 476-nucleotide ribosomal RNA is filed under the name uncultured bacterium. RNAcentral's name for it is "bacterial SSU rRNA". It matches the Rfam family "Bacterial small subunit ribosomal RNA", at positions 328 to 793 of the family's 1533-position model. The record is from RNAcentral.
UGACAGUACUCCUACGGGGAGGCAGCAGUGGGGGAAUAUUGCACAAUGGGCGCAAGCCUGAUGCAGCCAUGCCGCGUGUGUGAAGAAGGCCUUCGGGUGUAAAGCACUUUCAGUCGUGAGGAAGGUAGUGUAGUUAAUAGCUGCAUUAUUUGACGUUAGCGACAGAAGAAGCACCGGCUAACUCCGUGCCAGCAGCCGCGGUAAUACGGAGGGUGCGAGCGUUAAUCGGAAUUACUGGGCGUAAAGCGCAUGCAGGUGGUUUGUUAAGUCAGAUGUGAAAGCCCGGGGCUCAACCUCGGAAUAGCAUUUGAAACUGGCAGACUAGAGUACUGUAGAGGGGGGUAGGAAUUUCAGGUGUAGCGGUGAAAUGCGUAGAGAUCUGAAGGAAUACCGGUGGCGAAGGCGGCCCCCUCGGACAGAUACUGACACUCAGAUGCGAAAGCGUGGGGAGCAAACAGGAUUAGAUACCCUGGUAG